This is a long non-coding RNA of Stegodyphus dumicola, 1098 nucleotides long. The record is from RefSeq and is a predicted model, not a curated record. NCBI's taxonomy places the organism in Eukaryota, Metazoa, Arthropoda, Arachnida, Araneae, Eresidae.
UCUGUCUACUUUGUCUGUCUGUCUGUCUGUUUCGGUAUUAGAUUUUUGGUUUCAUGUGCUUAGAAGUGUUAAGUGUUGGACUGAGGGGUGGUAAAAGUUUGCAGUGUGGUGGUUAUAUACUUUGAAUAAUCAGAAACUUAAUUAAGAAUAUUAGUGUUUUCUGGAGAGAAACUGACAAUUUUUGGUAUGAUGUUUGUCGCUUUGAGUAACUGGAGAUAACUUGAGUUCAGUUAUCUGAAUAUUGUUUAUCUUAUCACAAUCCUGGAUAUUACAUUUCUGUUGCUUCAAGAAGUUAUGCUAGAAGCAAUGAAGAAAGAUGACUGCAAUAAUUUUAAGCUCAUGCAUAUAGGAAAAGCAGAGCUUCGCAGCCAAUAAUGAAAUUAUAAAAAAAUCUAGGAAAUAUCUGAACAUUCAAAAUAAUAUAUUAGGGGUAAUAUUUUAAAUUUAUUCUUUAAUUUGAUUUAGUUUUUUAUGACAAAUGUUAUAUUCUAUAUGCAUUUUCUUUUGUCACUGUUAUUAUAGGACACAUUAAAUUCAUCAGCUGCAACUGUCAUUAUGGGACAGAGGGAGUAGCUCUCAUUUUCUCCAUCCUUAAAAAUAGUAUGUUGUGCUAUGCUGAACAAGAACUGCAUAUCCUCAUUUCUUAUUUCUCUUUUGAAGUUAAAAUGUCAGAGGUUCAAAAGAGAAUAUACUAUAAUGUACAAUAAAUUUUGCAUUACUUUAUUUAAUUGCACAGUUUAUAAUGUAUUAUAUUAUGCAGAAUAUUUAGUUUUUAAUUUAUUUAAUGUUGGUGGUGUCUUACUUGCAGGAUUUACCAGUUUAAAUAAACUGUAAUUACAUAUGUUAUAGGAAUAUACCAUUUCAUGCAGUAUUUGCUGUUAUGUGCAGUUUCACAUAUCCAUAGUAAGUCUGAACAUAUUGCCUGUGGAUUUUGAACAUUACUGUAUUUUAAAACUAAGGUAUAGUUGAAUCCCACCACAGCAAAUUUCAAGGGACUGGAAGUUUCAUUUGUUAUAUCCACUCGAAUAAGAAAAAGGGGUUAUCUCAUGAAAACAUGUAAAAAUUGAAUGAUGAGUAACAAAAAAAAAAAAAAAAAAA